This 459-nucleotide ribosomal RNA is filed under the name uncultured bacterium. RNAcentral describes it as "partial 16S ribosomal RNA". It matches the Rfam family "Bacterial small subunit ribosomal RNA", at positions 338 to 795 of the family's 1533-position model. The record is from RNAcentral.
CCUACGGGAGGCAGCAGUGAGGAAUAUUGGUCAAUGGACGAGAGUCUGAACCAGCCAAGUAGCGUGAAGGAUGACUGCCCUAUGGGUUGUAAACUUCUUUUAUAUGGGAAUAAAAUGUUCCACGUGUGGGAUUUUGUAUGUACCAUAUGAAUAAGGAUCGGCUAACUCCGUGCCAGCAGCCGCGGUAAUACGGAGGAUGCGAGCGUUAUCCGGAUUGAUUGGGUUGAAAGGGUGCGGAGGCGGACAGUCAAGUCAGCGGUAAAAAUGCGGUGCUCAACGCCGUAUAGCCGUUGAAACUGGCAGUCUUGAGUGGGCGAGAAGUAUGCGGAAUGUGUGUUGUAGCGGUGAACUGCAUAGCUAUCACGCAGAACUCCGAUUGCGAAGGCAGCCUACCGGCGCCCGACUGACGCUGAGGCACGAAAGCGUGGGUAUCGAACAGGAUUAGAUACCCCAGUAGUC